GGCUUGUGCAGAAAAACCGCAAGGGCCAGUCCAUCCGAAUGGCUCGAUCCAACCCGACCGAUUAAUGCGGUUUAAACUAUUUUCUAGAUUGAACCCGUGAAAUGCCGAUUUCAACCCGAGCAACCUGCUUAAAGUCAUGUUCUAAGCGUGGAAUACAAAUCAAACCCUAGCUGACUAGCCCUCCCCAUUCUCUUCCUCAUUAUCAUCACCUCCAUUCGCCAACAUGGUCGUUGCCUCCGUUCCCUCUGUUCGUCAUUGCAUUAAUCGCUCUCAGAUUGUUAGUCACCCACCUAUCUUUCAGUUCCAAAAUAUGUUUCACCUACCCUCACAAAGAGCCAAUAUUUGUUGAUUCAGACCAAGAAAGUUUCAGAGACCCAUUUUCCAUUUCAGUUGCGUCGAUUCUAAGCUUGGUAGGUGUUGGAUUCUUUUAAAGCAAGUCACCCGCUGAAGGCCUCAAGCAAAACAGAGAGGAACCAUAGUUGGGCCUCAAGCGAGACUGAGCUCUCCAAGCCUAUCACUGCUUAUUGCAAGAAAAUAAGUUGAUACGGAGAAUACUCUACCGAUGGAUUGGCUUUGUCUCGAUAUUAAGAACGGGGUUAAGGAUCAUCUUUAGUUACCAUGGCUGAAGAAAACAUUUCUUAAUUUGAAACUAUAGGCCGCUCAACUUUUCGAGCGCAAAAUAGUGGUGGUUGGUUCCGAUUCAACAAGGGUAGAAUGCCUGGUCGAAAUAUUCACUUAACUCAUGAAUUUUAUGUAAAUUGUAAAAAUGAUUUAAUUUUAUGUAUAGUGGGAAAAA
Juglans microcarpa x Juglans regia is the source of this 796-nucleotide long non-coding RNA. RefSeq lists it as uncharacterized. The record is from RefSeq and is a predicted model, not a curated record. NCBI's taxonomy places the organism in Eukaryota, Viridiplantae, Streptophyta, Magnoliopsida, Fagales, Juglandaceae. The transcript has 3 exons.